This is a long non-coding RNA of Siniperca chuatsi (mandarin fish), 2433 nucleotides long. RefSeq lists it as uncharacterized. Lineage: Eukaryota; Metazoa; Chordata; Actinopteri; Centrarchiformes; Sinipercidae. The transcript is spliced from 3 exons. The record is from RefSeq and is a predicted model, not a curated record.
CUGUGGAAUUUGAAAUAAUGGCUUCUUCUUUGGGUAGGAAAAUGAGGCUUAAUAUCUCCAGUUAUGCUUACUGCUUACAGACACCAUCAGGAAUAAUAGAGUCAGCAUGCCUGGCACCAGAGCUAUUUUUUGUGGCAAUUACUGCCCCCCGCGAGUCACAUAUGUAUAAUAUGCUUCUGAGUAAUGAGUAGGCUACUGUAUGUAUAACCGAGGUUAUUUUCUUUAGCCCCAAUUUACAGAUGUUCCCUAAACGUCUCGUAAGCAUGCUAUUGGUAGGCACUUUCUAGGCUGCCGAGCACAGCGAAGGCGCUAGUACCCGGCUACCGGAGAGCACGCACCUCAGACAGGUGUGUGAGACAGAAGCUCAGUUAGGCAGAGAAGAGUGAAAUAAAACAUUUAUAACCUACGAUUUCCAAGACGUGAAAUUGAGUUGAGCUGGUGGCACUGCCAGAAAGAGAAACCUGCUAAACUGGAGAGUAGCUGUUGAGAGAGAAGUUGUCAUCAGGACGAACUCCGUCGGGCGUCUCUUCCCAAUUAAGUGGAUUAUGCUGGGAGGAUUCUUUUAGUUGAAGACGUGGAGCUGCUUCGUCUACUGUCUGGUUCGUCAUUGUGGCUUGUGGAUGCCUUCAUCUUGUCUGGACGCUGAUGUCUGGAUGUACCAUUCCAAGGGGCGCAGUAAAGCUCCCAGCCAAAAGGAUCAAACGUAUGAAGACAUGACCAGUGAUGGCACCCCACUGCAGCUGCUGUAGCUACUGUUGUGCUAGAUGUGUGUGUGUGUGUGUGUGUCCAAUAUGUGUGUGCAUUUUCUUGUGUGUGUGUGUUAUGCCAAGUAAAGAAGAAAAACAGGUGGCUUCCGCAGCCUGCGCAUGCAUAUGUUGUGAAUUUUUAACUGUAAACAUUUUUGGGCUUGUGAGUUUCGUCUCUGUAAUGAAUUGCCUCUGAACAAGUGGCGUCCACAUUAGUGGAAUAUUUGUCAUGUUUCCCACGGGACUUUAAGAUAACUUCAGCAUUGAAUUUAACCUUCACUACAAUCAAUGCCAUAUACCCAUUGAAAACCUGCAUUGUUUUAUACAGUAAAUUAUGUUAAACUAAUCCAGUAACCACAAUUUUGGAAGUAAUUAAGUAAGUAAAGUUGAUUUGUGAUGACAUGUCACAUUAUCCUAUCAUCUCUUAAUUAGAUAAUUAAAUAUAUACCAGGACAAUAUUCUGUUAUUAAGUCUUCAUCUCUUAAGAGUGAUCACAAAAUUACCAUAUGAAUAUUCCACCAAUAUCACUGAGUAAGCACAUUUUUUAUAUUAUAUAGUUAUUUGGCAAGUAAAUCAGCAAACUAAAUAAGCCUGGACCAUUACUAUCGUGUCAAAAAAGUCAAUGUAAAGAGCCACAGCAGACCUGGGUUCAACGGACCACCAACCUCUUUGAAGUUUGAGAAGGAAAGAAUGGAACAUGCAUUGACUGAAUACAAUGUGGAUAAAUAAUAAAAAGUAUAGUGUAUCCAAAUGUAAAAGAGUCACAAAAUAUACUCAAGUAAGAGUAAAAAGUAUGCUGCUUUAAAACCACUCCAAUAAGUACAAUUUACUCAGAAAAGUUACUUAAGUUCAUGUAAUGGACUUUUCUUAAUUCUUAUUGAAAGCUGCUUCCAUAAAAGCCCUUAUCUCUGAAGUAUUGAUAUGGGUUUUAUUAAGAGAUUACGAGAAUUAAAUAGAGAUAUAUCAGAGCUCCCUUAAACUUUUUUACUAGCAACAAAGGUCAAAUACUUUGACGUGCACACAACUACUCUAGCCUAUGGUAAAGAGAUUACAUCACACUGAACAUGUUGGAGCUCAUAACAUCAUUUGAUGUGUAGUUAUGACCUGAGAUGAGCUAUCAUCAGUGUUUUUUUUGAAAUUUUGGUAAACCCAUAUUUGUUCAGACAAAAGGUUACAGUUCAUCAGUGGGAAUAACACAUGGAGAGAUAAUUGCUGGUGCACAUGGAAAGUGAAAUGUUUCUUUGUUCAUCUAUAUCUCUCGUUACAGCUCAGUGUAUCAUUAUCCAAUCAAAGAGGAGACCAACUAAACAAACAGGGCAGACCAUAAUUGAUGAUGAAGCUGCAUAGUAAUCUGUAAUUCCAUCUGUUCUCACACCAGAACCAGCGUCAUUAUUUAAAUAAAAGAGCAAAUCAGAAAUGUGUCAGGUGAUUUGUCUUUUUCUUUUCUCUCUCUCCAGACAUUAUGUGAUUUAUGCUGGCACAUCAGGCAGGGCAUGAAUAAACUGGUUUACACAGAGAUGUUCCCAGCAAAGACUGAAAAUAAACACAGAAGGAAGUGCAAACAUCAAGGAAUGUCAACAAGAGGAUUGUUUUUUUGGAACCUGAAUACAUUUGGCACAUUAAAAUUACUGGAAUUAAUUGUAUUCUAUCAGAGUUAUUCUCAAAUUGUGGCUAAAUCAAAAUACCA